CCGUUUGUGGCUUAGUGGUUAAUGUCACAGCCUAUGGAUCGUGAAGUUGCAGGUUCAAGCCCUGCUGGAAGCA
This 73-nucleotide transfer RNA is filed under the name Anguilla anguilla (European eel). RNAcentral's name for it is "tRNA-OTHER". The record is from RNAcentral. Lineage: Eukaryota; Metazoa; Chordata; Actinopteri; Anguilliformes; Anguillidae.